This 253-nucleotide ribosomal RNA is filed under the name uncultured bacterium. RNAcentral describes it as "partial 16S ribosomal RNA". It matches the Rfam family "Bacterial small subunit ribosomal RNA", at positions 524 to 776 of the family's 1533-position model. The record is from RNAcentral.
UACGAAGGUCCCGAGCGUUGUUCGGAAUCACUGGGCGUAAAGGGAGCGUAGGCGGCGUGGUAAGUCAGAUGUGAAAUCCCGGGGCUCAACCCCGGAACUGCAUCCGAUACUGCCAUGCUAGAGGAUUGGAGAGGUAGCUGGAAUUCACGGUGUAGCAGUGAAAUGCGUAGAUAUCGUGAGGAACACUCGUGGCGAAAGCGAGCUACUGGACAAUUCCUGACGCUGAGGCUCGAAGGCUAGGGUAGCGAAAGGG